This is a long non-coding RNA of Schistocerca americana (American grasshopper), 316 nucleotides long. RefSeq lists it as uncharacterized. The transcript has 3 exons. The record is from RefSeq and is a predicted model, not a curated record. Lineage: Eukaryota; Metazoa; Arthropoda; Insecta; Orthoptera; Acrididae.
AGGGAAUAUUCUGUGUCAUUGCGCUGAAAUUGUUGUGGAAGUUGGAGACUUGUCUACAUAUAUGGCUGCUAUUAUUCUUCAGAAACGUAAAUAUAUUUGAUUCCAUCUCGUCAUGGCCGGAAAGAUAGAUGACGCAUAUGAGCUACUACUUAAAACGUACCGCAAUAUUUCGAUGAAAUGCCUUCUGUCUUGCGUACCAACGCAAACAGAAAUGAAGCCGAGACGUGGAGAGGUUCUGUGUGCUGAAUAUUGUAUUGCAUGUGAAAUGCAGCAGUUGAGGAAAUCUGUAAUCAACAAACUACCACAGACAAGGAAG